Molecule: long non-coding RNA, 260 nt
Organism: Gallus gallus (chicken)
Lineage: Eukaryota; Metazoa; Chordata; Aves; Galliformes; Phasianidae
Source: Ensembl
GAAGCAGUCUUUUUUUUUUGUGGGCUUAUCUCCAGAGAGAUAGCCAUCUCAGGAGGCACUGACCCAAGCACCCAGGAAUGCCAUGUUGGCAGAAGGAGGAUACAAAAGGGACCAACAACUGUGAGAGUCGGCAAUGUUGCUGCUGCUCUCCCUCUGUGCUUUUGCCUCAGACCAUCGGAACAGCAUGCAACAGGAUACUGCUGGAUCUUGGUGUAUUCUCCUCCAGAAGCUGGCAGAUCGUGGCUUGGACAGACACAUUC